RNAcentral lists this small RNA (653 nucleotides) under Pan troglodytes (chimpanzee). RNAcentral describes it as "retained intron". The record is from RNAcentral. Lineage: Eukaryota; Metazoa; Chordata; Mammalia; Primates; Hominidae.
AGUAGCGGCGGCUCAGCUGCUGCCAUGGAGCCAGCCGGGCUAGAGCGGCUCCUACGGGAGCUGCUGCUACCGGACACCGAGCGCAUCCGUCGGGUACGGAGCAGGCGUAACCCGGCCAGGGCGAGCGGGAGGUUGCGGGAAAGGCCCGACUCUCACCCCUAGCUUCCCCCCAGGCCACGGAACAGCUCCAGAUCGUUCUUCGGGCCCCCGCCGCUUUGCCGGCUCUCUGCGACCUGCUAGCCUCGGCGGCCGACCCCCAGGUGAGACCCCUGACUCUCCCCUCCGAGCUUCCCACUGUACGCCACCGGUCAGGCCCCAAUAUUCGCCCACUGCGGUCCGCUCAGCACCUUCCUGCCCGGACCCCCACGUGCUUGCUUCCUCGUCCUAGAUCCGCCAGUUUGCGGCCGUGCUGACCCGCAGACGACUGAACACCCGCUGGCGACGGCUGGCGGCGGAGCAACGGGAGAGGUGGGCUGGGCCUGGGGUGGGGCGGGGCCAGGCGGAGACUUUUCUUGGGCAGGCUGGGUACCAAACACCUGCCACCUGUGUUCCAGCCUCAAGUCCCUGAUCCUGACGGCCCUGCAGAGAGAAACAGAGUAAGUACCUACCCCCUUCUCUCGGGAUCUUGACGACUUUGUCUAGGUUUCUGCCUU